AGAUUUCUCAUGGUUUGGAUUUGGGAAAGUAAAAUCAAGACAAGGUGUUGGCCCAGCUUCAGUUAUCAGCAAUGAUGAUGACUCUGCCAGCCCACUCCACCACAUCUCCAAUGGGAGUAACACCCCAUCAUCCUCGGAGGGCGGCCCCGAUGCUGUCAUUAUUGGAAUGACCAAGAUCCCUGUCAUUGAAAAUCCCCAGUACUUUGGCAUCACCAACAGUCAGCUCAAGCCAGACACAUGGCCCAGAGGUUCCCCCAAGACCGCCUGAUAAUAAUUUGGUAUUUGGAGGCUCCUAUGUCACUGCAGGAACUAAAGGAGGCUAAAUCCAUGCCUGAUGGAGGAGAAGAGUUCUAUGGUUAUCUGCAAAUUCUGGCCAGACAACAUCUUGACGUCACUCCUUAGCUUCCAUAACCUAGCCAAGCAAGAAGUUGCCUUCCAAAGAGAAAGCAGUAUGCUCUAAUGACUAAGCCCUCAAAGUGCUAAAGCCACUUUAACUAUAGACCCAUCUCCUCGAUCAAUCAGGAUGGCAAGAUGGAGCUGAGGAGCUCAGCAACAUCAAGUCUGGAGUUGGUCUUUAAUUCAACUAGUCUGUGUAGACGUGUCUGAAAACCACUUCAUCUGACAGCAUGGGGUGGUUUCCCAGUAGGAUUUACAAACUCGGCUCAAGGGCAGCCAUGUGCUAUCCUCUCCUUGACUACUGGGAAAAACUUUGACAGGGUACAAUGGAAACACACCUUCUGAGUUGAGAAAAAGAGAAAGAAAGAACCACUAACCAGCAACCCCCCCCGACCCCCUGAAUCAUCGAUCUGGGGUUCUUUUGAAGGGUGGGAAUGCGUUAUAGCUUCCCCUGCAAGAAAAACAAAUGGUAUAUACUUAUUGUCAUCUCCAAAUGUGUGUCUUUCUUAGACAGCCUUGUAAAUUAGCUAGGGUCCUAGGCCUGGGGCCAGAAUUAAAUUAGAACUGUCUCUUGAACUGUAUGAGUUUGUCCUUGUAGUGCAUGCCCUCUUUGAGUACCUAGGGCUGUAACUCCCUGUGGCAGAUGCAUAUAAAGAACUCUGACUUGUCCCCUUUGAUUCUGCUUCCAAUGAAAAAUGGAUAUUUAUUGAUUUCCUGCAGAGUGUGCCAUACUUCCCCAGGUAUUAUAGUUCACGCGUGUGUGUGUACGCACGUGUGUCUUCUCAUUGGUUUCAUGCCUAUUAGGCAAUGAUGUAGAUAAGCACAGAUUCCUAGACCAGCUAAGACUAGGGAAAUAAGACAUAAUAAGGAGAGGGAGCGUGUUUAACUGUAGUUGAAAAGAUCACACAGGCACUCCGCCUGCUCCCCUUAACUGCCAUACACACACUAUCAUCAUGUUGCCAAUAAGGGGAGGAUUGGAGGCAAUACUUUCCACAGAAAUGCAGAGAUUUUGAAUGUAUUUGCAACGUUAUUUUGAGUACACACGAGCACAAAUUCUGACUUACAUCCAGGACCCCGGGAGCUCAUUAGAUCAAAGGAUGAGGGUCCUGAGAGUUACCCAGGCUUAUCUUCAAGCCUCGCUACAGCCUGGGCCUGUGGUCCAUUUCGAUGGUCAGGGACAGGAUUUAACACCAGGUAGAAACAAUUGCUCUGGCACUCUUCUCUAUCUUUUGCCUAUUAAUUUUGUCUUUCAAAAGUAUAUUUUCUUCUAAGCAUUUAAUCGGCCAAGUAAUAGCUGCUUUGGGAACUGUUUAUAUCCCUUUGAAGGCUGUGACCUGCACUUUAAAAAUAAGCUUAGCCCAUUCUGCCCAGCAUGAGUGUUAGGACGGAGGGAGAAUGCAGUUAUUUUAGGAUCCUUAGAAAAGGCUUCGUUUACAGCACACUGGGUUGACAACUCGUCCCUCGGGGGUCUUCAUGGCUCGAAUCUGUAGGUCCCAGUCUAAUUCUGUUUCCCUCUCGGUGCCAUAGUUCCCCAUUGCUAGCUAGAACAGCUUGAUAUCAUAUUCUCUUUUCAACUCCAGAGGAGAUGGCAAGAAGCUAUCAAAUAAUGCUUUAAAAAGCAACUUGAGUUCCCUAGAAGAAAGGAAAUGAAUACAUGCUGCAUAAUUACAUUUAAAAUGUAAGCCAUGUUACAAAUUCCACUGAAAUGAAGAUUCGUUAGCAAAUCCCGUUCCAAGCACACUUAAAACUAAGUGAGAUGAGAGAUGUCAUUUUAUUAGCAUUUGACCCCUGGGUGAUAUUAUUUGUUCUCAAAAAAGAAAUGCCAGCCAGUCAUAGGCUACCUGGACCUUCUAGGGAAACCACUCCAAGCCUACAUUGAAUGGCUAACAGGGAAAAAUGACCAUGGAUUGAGGGGGAGACACGCUUAAUGAUGUUCUCAGAACUGUUUUUACUCCCACACCAUCAGCCAGCCUGAGAUGGAACUAGGCAUGCCCCCCACCUCAGACAUUUCCCUCCAAUUUCUCCAAAUCAUCCGUGAUGUCCUGGGAGCCUGCCAGCAGAGGCAGGAUCCUAAUGCAUUUGUUCUGGACAUUGACCCAGGCCCAGCCCCCUGGAGCGUGGGUACCAACAGGAGGAAUUGAAUCAAACUGCACCCCCAGUUUGGUUUCCAUUUGGCCACCCUUGCACAUGCCAGCAGAUUGUGGACCAGGACCAGCUCAGCAAACACAAAUGUAGGGGAGCCUCUUACGUUGCUAAGAAGCCCCUGCUACCCAGAUGCUGGGAACAACUGAGUGCUCCCUAUGGUUAAGUAGAGACAGCUUGAUGGGAGUUUUUCUGGGGUGUGAGGCUCAAUCCUGUAUGGCAGCUCUUCUAACAGAGUGCAGGUUUCCUCCUUGUGAAGUGCAGAUUUUCUCCGUCUUCGCUCAUUCUGCCAGUCUGAGAGGGUGACCCACCAUGGCUGAGCUUCGUCUCAGAUUACCCAUAGGCCCACUCUCCAUGUUCUCCUUACGUUCGCCAAUGUUGUGGUUGCUCGUUUGUUUGAGUGUCCUUUUCCUUGGGUGUUGUCACUUCUCUUGAAAAGCGGGUAAGAUGAAUUUGCUCCAUACCACGGACAGGAAAGAACUGGAAUGAGACCUGCUUCUUCGUUCAACCUGAUAGCCAAGCACAAAGGUCUUCUUGCUGCGAGGCUCAGCCCCUAAGCAGGACCCCCCUUAGGGAUCCAUGUUGGAUCCCUGCUGCCCUCUCUCUGAGCCUGCUCCCUUUUGCUGAGAGAAGGCUGUGUCUUUUGGAAUGCUUGAGCUCCUCAAAGAGGGGAAACUUAGAAGGCAGUCCUUGUGCCUAAAGGAAAAAGGAAUGUGGGUAUUAGAGUGACCACCAGGACUGAGAGGAUUCCUAGGAACAGGACUGUCCCAGACAAAGCACAAUGGAUCGGUCACCCUAGGUGGUAUAGGCCUGAUGAUUUCUGCUGGUAAGACAGAAUUAAGUCUUAGUUACCCCCAAGAGCCUUCAGCUGCCCUAAAAUGAGGUACUUUAAAAUAAAAAAGAAAUAAUAGAGAUUACAGUAGGAAAUUUGGAAAACAUAAGAGAUAAGGAUGAAAUAAGGAUCAAAUUAAAAAUCACCCGUAAGUCCAACAGUUAGAGAUAGCAGCUGAUAUCAUUGGAAUAUAUAAAUAUGGCUUUCCAGUCCUGUGAAUAUCCUUUUAAUGUCCUGUGAUAUGCAGUCUGUUUUUGCCUCUGCCUUUAUUCGUACUGGGCUUUGUUCAUCUUUCCGUGGUAACAGUUCACCCUGGGUAGAUUGUGCUGGAAAGUCGUAGGAAGCACGCUGAGUAUAUUAUUGCCAGUUUCAGAUUUCCUAUUUACUUGGUGGUACCUGGGGGCUAAGAUAGGCUGGGGGGCCGAACAUGGCUGGCCACUUCAGGUCUGGUCUGUAGGGACCCUAAACCCAGAGGUGUUCAGCUCUCACAUGGUGAGUGUCAUUGAGGAAAUGAGGACCGUGUCGUGAGCUGGGAAGACUCCAGAAGUAAGAGGCUCCUUGUUCUGCAAAGGCAGGUGGACGGCACUGGUUUCGGGUCAACACUUUCGAUGACUCCAAAUGUGGUUUAUCGCUCAGCUGAAGCAGAUGAUCACAUUUUGUCCCCUAGUUGCCGGCCCUGGCCGCCUGGCUCCUCUCAGGGACCUGAGUACACUGCAUCUUAAGGACCAGGCUGCUUAUCUCUAGUAUGUUUCUCGUUAUUUAGGGGCUGCCUUUCUUCCACCCAGGAUCCCCCAUGCUGUGCAAGGGCCUCUGAUAAGUUGGAAUGUCCCCUUAGUCGUUCAGCCAUACCGAAACUUGAUGGAGUUAGCUGCCCAAUGCUCUCCAGACUUUUUAUCCUGAAAGGCUUCCUCUUUGGGUGCCUCAGGUAUCGAGGCCUACACUGGGUUUCUGGCAAGGGGACCUCUAUCAAUAGUGUGACAUAGGGAGUAUGUCAGUGUUGGUAUUAACAUUGAGAGAUUCUAAAAAUGAGUUCAGAACAGAUAGAUUCCUGUAAUUUGUAAGAGAUUAGAUUGGUGUGAGCUUGAACCGAAACAGGGGUGGUAGGGAGGGGAGAAUUCUAGGAAGAAAACAAAAAUCUAAUGCUAAUGCCUAGUGUCUAAAUUACUCUUAUCAGUUACUGUACAUGCUAUGAAUAUGGGUAGACAUCAACAUUCUCUAUCCUGUUGUUAUUACUUCGCACAUUUAUUAAACCAUGCCGUUGACCUUCUGGGUGUGUUAAAGCGGAAACCAAGAUCAUUAUUAGGUAAUGAUGACAUGUAGACUGAGUCCCAUAGUCCUAAAGUUCCAAUAAAGUGGUUGAUAUAGAGGGGACAGGAUAAAAUCCUAUGCUACCCUAAUGAUAUCAAAAGAGUUAGUCUCCAUGUUAGAGAAUGCCUUUACUAGAGGAGAUUACGUGAUAUGUCCACUGGUCAAAUAAGCAGAGACAGAACCAUGGAGCAGCCACCUGAGUUGUCUUCCUGCAGGAAAGGGUGGAUGUCCAUGUCCGUUUCUACCCUCACACCGGGUAUUCAUUCCCACCCCUGCUCCUGACCACGGCUCACUUUCAGAGUAACAGAAGUUGGCCUUCUGUCUGCGGCUAAAAGAACAGAGAGAAAUUAACUUGUUACCUGGAGAGACAAGACUCAGAUUCUUAACUUUCUAUUAAUUGAGCACUAACUGGUCUCAUACUGUCUCUCUCCUGGUUUACUCCCUCUGAACCAUAAAUAUCCAUCCCUCUGCCCCUCUCAAGCUCCCACUCUCCCUCUUCUUCUCGGGGUUCAGGAACCAUGAUGCUAAUGAUUACACUUCUUCCCAGUUCCAACUUCCAUCAGCGCCAUUUGCUGAUACCCACAGAAGCAGAUCUGCAUCUGUCUCCCUGCUGGAGCCUUAUUGAGAGAGGCCGUUUGUUUCUUUCUAAGGGUGUUUCUCUCCCUCCUGAGAGCUUUUGUUUGCCUUUACAUAUAAGGUUUUAGUUUUCCUUGAGCCCUGUCUAGACUUUUAUCAACAUUGGUUUUGGAAGAGGAGAAUACUCAUUUCAUUUGUAAGAUAUUGGCGAUGGGUCGCUCUGCCUUAGAUUCCUGAACUCUUGAGUUUGGGGAGGGAGAGGAUGGCCAAGUAGCAAAGGCAGUAAGAUUGCCCCUCACUUCCUGAAUCGUGCUUCUCUUCUGGGCUUCAUGUACUCUCUGCCCUUUCCUACACAUUGCACCCCAAGUUCCAGUUGAAGUAGAUCCUGGCCAGAUUUGGGUCUAAUAGCUGACACGUGGGUACGGUCCUUGGUGUCAACACCUCAAUGCAUCUUUUGUUCUCUUGAAGAGAUCUGUGUUACUGAGAGCGGAGCUUCUGUGUGUGGGCAGAGCUCUGGGAGAGGUUGAUGGGUGGGGGGUGAAUUCAUGGAGCCCACAACCUCUGCCCACUUUUGAAGGAAGGAACUUGGGUGAGAUGGAUGCUGGUUCCAUGCCAGGUCUGAGUGUUGCACCCAUCCCCUCUUGGAGGUGUCCCUGCUUCCCCACCAUGGGCAGUGAGCCUUUGGCAGCCGGUCUCAGCCCUUCGGCCCUCUGAUGCUGCACCACCGUCUGUGGGGAUGGGUUCGGAGGGGUCUCUGUGGACUGCUACGCAUUGCUCCACUUUAUUUUCCUCUCUCCUCGGAUGCAAGAGAGCAGACCUAAAACAUGACUUGCAUUCUUUUAGUCUGCUCAGAGACUCCAGGGCUUGUCAAUGGAUGAGUGAGCAGUGGAGCUUGGAAUUCUCUAUUAUAUAGCCCUGUACAUGGAAAUGAGAUCUGUUGUACUGGAAUUUGUGAUGUAGUUGAUAAUUCAGAGCCAAACACAUUUACCA
This is a non-coding RNA of Leptonychotes weddellii (Weddell seal), 6244 nucleotides long. The record is from RefSeq and is a predicted model, not a curated record. Lineage: Eukaryota; Metazoa; Chordata; Mammalia; Carnivora; Phocidae.